RNAcentral lists this small nuclear RNA (155 nucleotides) under Leptobrachium leishanense (Leishan spiny toad). RNAcentral's name for it is "U1 spliceosomal RNA (ENSLLEG00000017395.1)". It matches the Rfam family "U1 spliceosomal RNA". Rfam says of the family: U1 is a small nuclear RNA (snRNA) component of the spliceosome (involved in pre-mRNA splicing). Its 5' end forms complementary base pairs with the 5' splice junction, thus defining the 5' donor site of an intron. The record is from Rfam by way of RNAcentral. Lineage: Eukaryota; Metazoa; Chordata; Amphibia; Anura; Megophryidae.
ACUCCCACAUCUAAAGGCUCCACUGUGAUCACCAAGGCAGUUCUCCCAGGGCGAAUCUCACCAUUGCACUCUGGGUGUGCUGACCCCUGUGAUUUCCCCAAAUGCGGGAAACUCGACUGCAUAAUUUAUGGUAGUGGGGGACAUGCUUUCCCCUG